RNA transcript from Spodoptera litura, 4156 nucleotides. It is a transcript of the gene named solute carrier family 66 member 2, with no coding region annotated. NCBI's taxonomy places the organism in Eukaryota, Metazoa, Arthropoda, Insecta, Lepidoptera, Noctuidae. The record is from RefSeq and is a predicted model, not a curated record.
UAUUUAUAGAAACCAGAAACGCGGUUCAUUUUUAUCGAUCGAUUUGCGUUGUAUUGUAGCGCUAAGAUAAAUUAUAUAUACUGCUUUAGUAAAAAUAGUUAAAAUGUUAAAUAUUCAUAAAAAUGAAGUUUGUGAUUAAUGUGAUUCACUUACAAUAUCAGAGAAUAAUUACUUUAUAGUUUGAUAUUGGCCGUCUUAAAAUCACGAAAUAAUGGAUUGGAUCAUUUCGGACGAAUUAGGGCUUACUGUGGGCCAUCUGGUAGGUUGGGUAGCAGCUGGUGCUAUGAUAGUAGGUGGCGUCGCCCCUUACAUCCCACAGUACUGGCAAAUCAAGAGAACACAAGAUGCUGAAGGAUUCUCUUUAUACGUUUGUUUAACUCUACUAAUAGCAAAUACAUUGAGGAUAUUGUUUUGGUUUGGUAAACGCUAUGAGACUCCUCUAUUAAUCCAAAGUAUAGUAAUGAAUGUCACAAUGUUUGUGAUGAUACACCUCUGUGUCAAUGUACGAAAAAAGAACCAAAUUAUUAGAGCUAGAGAGAGAAUAUUCACAGGUGCAAUAUUCAUGUUAUAUAUACUGUUGUGUUGUGUAAACGGCUCAGACCAGCCGGAUCAAACUGCACGCUGGCUGAAUCAGCGCAGCAGCAUCAGUGGUGGGGAGAAGCCACAUCGCUUCUAUGAUAUGGAAAGGAAGUACUUCUGGGCCUGGACAGACUUCCAGAGCUAUAUAGACUGUAUGCUGGUGUUCUCGGUACUAGGAGGAGCGGUAACCUACCUGCUAAUAGAGUUCUCACCAUUCGUGGAACUUAUUGGGUUUCUUGCUCUAUUCACCGAGGCCAUGCUUGGUGCACCUCAGAUAGCCAGAAAUCAUAAGAAUAAAAGUACUGAGGGCAUGAGUGUUAGCAUGGUGAUAAUGUGGACGUGUGGUGAUUUGUUCAAGACUGCAUACUUCGUUUUAAGAAAAGCGCCUCCUCAGUUUUGGUUGUGUGGGGGCCUUCAAGUCUCAUUAGAUAUCGUAAUACUCUCUCAAAUGGUCAGGUGAUGACACUCUGACGAUAUCGGUUCGCAUGUGGGAGCCCAGCCUUCCGAUAUUCAGUCCUCGCUUUAGCAACGGGUUACCUACCUGUAAAGGGUGUGGUGGUACCGCCACAACACCGCGGCGGCCAGACGGGUGCGUCGGGGCGACUAGCAAUGGACAGAGACCGACUUAUAGCACCAGCCGGCCGAGGCCCGGCCGUCCAACGCAAUCAGGACGUCCGUCGCCUCCAUCGCCUUCUGUGCCCCAUACUCGGUACUCUGCCUUCCCUACAUAUUAUGACGAUAAUCUCCAUAAUAUUAUCACGGGUUGUGUGAAAGUACUCUCCAACUGAAAGUUGAUAUUAAACCCAAGCGAUGACCAAAAUACAUGGUGCGAACUGAUAUUGGACAUUUUAACGAAAACUGUUAAUCGAAUUAGACAUUUAUUACGUUCUAGUGGUUGCAAUAAUUCCUUAGGUAGACGGUGCUAUAGGUUUGUGCCUAAAUUAAUACCAACGAGGGUCAUGAAAGAAGUUGUAAUGAUGAUGAUUUAUUGUUUUUAUAAUGGUGAAAUAGUCAUCGAUAUCGAUAGUAGGUAUAUACAAUUAGAGUGACCAAAAUGUUUCCUUGUCUUUGUAAGGUGAUAAACUAGUCCUAAACGAUUAGACUCAUUGUAAGUCUAAAAAUGCUUGGUAGGUUUUAAAUAUUAAUAGUAAUGUGGAUAGCCAAAUGCAAAAGAUACAAGAGUAAAUAAAAUUGUCAUAAUUUACACGCAAUAUUAGUACAAGCAAGCAUUUUUAGCGUAGCAAGACGGGUUGUUGACGACAGCAAUAAUUCUCAAAAGUGUUGCUUAUAUUAAAGUACAAUACAUGUUAUAUUUUAAAUACCUACUUUAUGUAUAGCAUCUAUAUAAUUUUAUUACAUUUGUUAACAAAGUGAGAAGUAUGCCCCAACAAGGAUACUACCAAAGGGCUUCUAUAGACAUUAAUAUUAUUGUACAUUGGAAUUUGUAAAUAUUUGUUUACGAUAAGACGUCAAAUAAUGUACUGUGCAUAGUGAUGCCAGUUAUAGGGUACAAUGAAGCUUAGAUUCUAACUUCCGUAAAAAUGCCAAUUUAGAUAAAAAUACAUAAAUAUACAAGAGAUAUUAUUGUGAUAUAUUUAUCUUAUAACAAUUUAUUAAUGCAUCCCCAAGGAACCAACAUUUUUAAUAUAGCAUGAUUUCAAGUUUUAUCUUAUAAUUUGGGGACAGGCGUAUUUUGCAGUGGAACUAUUUAGUAAACGCGAUUUUCGUAAUAGUAAGUCUACAGUUUCUGCUUUUAUAACGAGGUAUCACGAAAUAUUUACAUUCCUCGAUAUUUUAUUCCAUUUUACCUUUUUGGUAUGUGUACACGAAUACAUUUGUGACGUAGGUAUAUAAUUCCGAGUUCUUUUCUAAAAACACGUUCCAAUAUCUUCUGAUAGUGCUUCUACAUAACUAUUUUGUAACUAAUAAAAUAGCUAUGACUGUAAAAAUUCUUCCUAUAUCAUGUUAAGUGUUAGUUAAAAUUUUUUGGCUUUCGAUGUGUUUUUUAAUAUUCCAAAUUUAAAUUUUAUUAAAAAAAUAAAUUUUUACAUCUGCACAGACCAGUAAGUGCACUCACUUUAAUAAAAUAUAAAAAUAAUUGUGACUUGUGUAUAAUCCCUUUUGUGAAUACUAUUACUAUGUACCGAAUAAUUAUUUUUACGUAAUGUGUACUAUUUCAAGGGUUGUAUCGUGUAAUUAAUGGAUUGUUUAAUAAUUAAAUUUCAUAUUUUAGUAUUUAAAGUGAUGUUAAAUUAUGCUAUGGUUACUUUCAAAGCGUUGUUACACAUUCAUCAAACUUUAUUGCGACUCAUUAUAACUUUUAUUCAUUUCUUAAUAAAGUAUAAACUUAUAAAGUAUUAUUGUCGAUGCAUGUAUUAGUUUUAACAGUCAUCUAUCACCACUGUGUACAAAUUGUAGUAUUUUUAGUACCAUUACGUUAUUGUGAAUGUAUAAAUUAUAAACUAUGAAUCCUAAAUAUUGCGUAGAUUAGAUAAAUAUUUAAAGGGUGCUCUGUUUUACUAAAACUAUUCAUGCAUGUCUCUUGUAAAUCCAUUAGUCUAAUAAUAGAUAGAUUUAGUAUAAUAAAAAUAUUUAAUUAAUCACAAUUUACCUCAAAAGCAUUAGUGAGCCUGUCUUCUAAACAUUCGAUAUAGUUGAGGAUCCCUUCUAAGUCAGGUGGGAGCCAUCCAAAGCAUAAUAGAAAGUUAGUGCUGCGUGUACCUUAACACUCAUCCCUAUGUUUUUAAAAAAGUCAUUGACAAAAUAUAAUAUAAGCUAUGAAAAUUAUCACAUUUUCAAAAAACAAACUUACAGUGAUAUUAGACGCAGUACUCUGUUAUAUUAUAUAGAAAGUGCAUACUUCCUGCAAACAUUUGCAUUCAACAAUUUAUAAUGAUUUUAAUGGAACAUGCCACUUCUAUUGUGUGUUAGAUAUAUCAAGUUAACAGUAAUAAUUAGCAAUAUUUCACGAGGAAUUGAUUCAGUAAAUAACAAAACCACGUUACAUAGGAUCUUUUUGUACAAUAGACAAAGUACAUACGAAGUUGUAAAUAUUAUUAUAUUCAUAUUGAUUAGUUACUAAGAGCUACAGAAUGCAGACUCUUGUAGUCUGUUAGUUUAUUCAGGUUCGCGUCGAACUAAGUAAGAUGUGUACUUUAUGGAUAAUAAUUCCGCCACACGUGUCUGUUGUCUGGUGGCGGGGGGCCUCCAAGUAAUGCUUCCGCCAGUUGUUGAAAUAUACGUAUAAUUAUUUUUAUACAUAAACUCGACAUAUUUGCUUCUUGUAGACAGAACAGUAUAAAUGAAGGUAUAAAAGUAACUAUGAUAUUCGUACAUACAAGUCGAGAGAUAGUAGACGUGAAGGAACAUAUCAUAUUUAUAUUGAUAUACAUGUUAUUAUUUCUGUUGUAUGAAUAUAUAAAUGUAUUUGUAUUUGUCAAUUAAUAUUAAGUAUGUAAAUGAAUGAAAUUGAAGUAACCAUCGUAUGUUGUGAUGACAAAAUGUACAUGGAUAUGUUGUGAUUUUAUGAGUUACAUUUUCUUAAAUGAAAUAAAGUUAUAUUAUUUGUUAAAACUCU